This is a long non-coding RNA of Juglans microcarpa x Juglans regia, 1220 nucleotides long. RefSeq lists it as uncharacterized. The transcript is spliced from 2 exons. The record is from RefSeq and is a predicted model, not a curated record. Lineage: Eukaryota; Viridiplantae; Streptophyta; Magnoliopsida; Fagales; Juglandaceae.
AGAAGUACGUAGUUUGUCUAAUGUGAGUUUCUAAAGGAGAAAAUUGAGAUGGCUUUCAGGGCAUUUGGAGUUUGAAUUAGUUUAGACUUAGUCGAUAUUCUUAGGGCAUUAUGCUUUUUCGAGGUCCUUAUGCGCGAGCCCCCACAAGAGUGCCGACUGGAAAUAAUGUUUCUAUCGAUAAUAACUGUACAGAGUUUACUUUUUUGGUGUAUUUCCAGAAAAGUCACUGAAAGAUCUAUGAGGAUAGGAAUUAGGAAGGGAAAACAAAGGAGGUUAUGGAAAUUGUUCCUUUCUCGAAUUCCCCCCCCCCCCCCCCCCCCAAAAAAAAAAAAGAGUUGUGUGAUGGUGUUUUUUAACUGCGUUUUUUGAUAGGGAUAUUGAACUACAUUAGAUGAUAUUCAAUUCAUUAAAAAGUAAUUGGCUACGUUAGGCAGUAUUCAAAUUGUUGUAUUGCUCACUUAGACUAUUCAUGGCAAGAAAUAGCAUAGUUUCCAGUGCUAGAGCUGUGAAGAUAACUUUAUUGGUGCUUUCUUUUUAUAUGAAGUACCUAAGUAGUAUGUAUGAGGAAAGAAAAGCAAAAGGAAGUGAAAAGAUAGGGCUGCUGUGAUAUUGCCCAAAGAUUAUUUAUUGUGGGUGUCUGCUAGAUCAAAGUUAAUUUAUUUUCUCCAUUUUGGAAGAAGUUGACCUAAGUAAAUAUAAAGGCAGUGUGUGCAAAAGCACACUAUGGAGGUGAGGAGGGCAUGCCAUGAUCUAGUAUGAGGUAUAUUUAUCAUCCUAGUUGGCUUAAUCGAUAGAUGGGUCAAGUUGUACAAGUGCUGCUUAUUUUGAGAUUGGAAUUGACUGAGCAAACAUAAAUGCUGUUGUUUUUAGAGUAAUAUUUGACGGUAGAGCUUCCUAUGCAUUACUUAGAUUCUCACUUUUUAUACUCCACAUAUGUUGCUGAUGCUUUACUGCACAAAGACAAGACACAUCAUUAUCAGGCUGCCCAGCCUGAAGCGGUGCCUGUGCCAGUUUCGUCUUGGUACUCUUUUGCUGGUCUAUCAUUCCUACACCACUGACUGAAUUUGCAUCUUUAACAUACGUAUCCAUUUGUAUUUGGACUUCUGUUUAUUGGCACCUGAUGUGCAUAUGAGGCACUCUUCAGUUGCAUAAUGUAUGGAUGAGGGAACAGUUUUGGGUUCCAAAUUUGUACAGAACUGUGUAAGCGGCAUUUUGGUACC